AAUAGAUACCCCGGUAGUCCACGCCGUAAACGAUGAGUGCUAAGUGUUGGGGGGUUUCCGCCCCUCAGUGCUGCAGCUAACGCAUUAAGCACUCCGCCUGGGGAGUACGGUCGCAAGACUGAAACUCAAAGGAAUUGACGGGGGCCCGCACAAGCGGUGGAGCAUGUGGUUUAAUUCGAAGCAACGCGAAGAACCUUACCAGGUCUUGACAUCCCGGUGACCACUAUGGAGACAUAGUUUCCCCUUCGGGGGCAACGGUGACAGGUGGUGCAUGGUUGUCGUCAGCUCGUGUCGUGAGAUGUUGGGUUAAGUCCCGCAACGAGCGCAACCCUUAUUCUUAGUUGCCAUCAUUCAGUUGGGCACUCUAAGGAGACUGCCGGUGAUAAACCGGAGGAAGGUGGGGAUGACGUCAAAUCAUCAUGCCCCUUAUGACCUGGGCUACACACGUGCUACAAUGGACGGUACAAACGGUUGCCAACCCGCGAGGGGGGAGCUAAUCCGGAUAAAAACCGGUUCUCAGUUCGGAUUGUAGGCUGCAACUCGCCUACA
RNAcentral lists this ribosomal RNA (549 nucleotides) under uncultured bacterium. RNAcentral describes it as "bacterial SSU rRNA". It matches the Rfam family "Bacterial small subunit ribosomal RNA", at positions 777 to 1320 of the family's 1533-position model. The record is from RNAcentral.